RNAcentral lists this ribosomal RNA (39 nucleotides) under Pythium sp. MJY-M 2004. RNAcentral describes it as "partial 28S ribosomal RNA". Lineage: Eukaryota; Oomycota; Peronosporomycetes; Pythiales; Pythiaceae. The record is from RNAcentral.
UUGGACCUGAUAUCAGACAAGACUACCCGCUGAACUUAA